UUUCUCUGGAGGAGCUCCGCGCGUGGCGAGUCUGUGUCCUCCCUGUCCCCCAGAGCAGAGAACCCUCUCUGUGUCUGGACGGGGGAGGAGCAGACGCUGGACAGGGUGUGUGUGUUCAGCAGUGGAUUGUCAGACUUGGGGUCCCGGCUGCUCCCUUUUGGGUCUCUCCCCGGGCCCGCUGAUCUGACUGUAAUUCCUUCUGCUGGAGCUAGGGUUCGGCCACCUUGACGCGCCCCCUCUGCCCCCGGAGCGUGUCUUUGGGUUUUGUGUGUGUGGGAGUGGGGUGUAUGUGUGUUUCUUAUCCGAGACACCUCCGGGUCGUUUGCUUGGAAACCGGCUGAGGGCCCGCACAGCCUGGAGCAUUUGGUUGGAAAGUGAGGCAGGUAGCGCCCAAGGCUCCUGUACCAGGGCCAGGUUAGGCACCAACGCGUCCCUUAUGUCUCUGCAGCCUGCAGUGCGGUGGAACCGUUUUAUAGACUGACAGUGUGAACGUGGGAGGGGAUGGAUAUCAGAGACCCGUUUAUCCACAUUUUCAGAGAGUGGUAUUGCUCCGAUGUGAGUGUAGGCAGGUUACUCUCUGUGUCUCGUGUUCUUUACCUGUAAUUUGAGGUUUGUUGUACCUACUUUUAAGUGGUGGUUGUGAGGAUUAAAUGGAAUUUUGACAUGCAACAGUUGACACAGGGCCAGACACCAAGUAAGGGAUCAAUCAGUUGUUGCUUUUAUUAAUAGUAGGCAUCCAUCUGCCCACUUGUACGUAAGAAGGAAACACCCAAGAAUGAAAAGUAGCUUGUUGUAGGUCACCCAGCCAACUAGCACAUAGGGGAAAUUAGAAUCCAGGCACUCCCAGCAGGGCACUUUCCACCACCCUGCACUUUUGUAUUCAUCAGGCACAAUAUCCUUACUGUUGUCUGUAACUGUCUAUGUUCCCAGUGUCUGACUCUGCAGGGCCCUGGUGGUAUAAAGGUACUGAGACUUGCCUGUGUUUAGGGCUUCCUGAAGAUUAAAUGGCUGCUGAAGUUCUUGAGUUUAGCUUUAGCUCAAAAGAUACUGCGUCAGACUCUGCGUUCUGAGUAGAGUCUCAGACAAUGAAAAAAGAAAUACAAUGAAAAAGGGGAAAACUUCAAUCCAGAAUCUCUUGCCACAGUUUUUGGCAAAAUGCUGGCAAUUCCCAGGAAGAUAUGUGGAGAACGGAAAGGUUGCUACACCCAAAUAGUGGCGCAAAGGCUAUGAUUAUGGAGGAUUGGACCUGCAAACUCCAGAACAGAGUUCUGCCCUCUGAGGACCCUGCCCUUUCCCAAAAGGGGUAUCUUAAGAAGGAAAAUAUGGCUGCUCUUUGCCGGACAGCAGAGUCCCAGGCUGAACUCCAGUGCACCCAGUUAGACUUGGAGCGGAAACUCAAGUUGAAUGAAAAUGCCAUCUCCAGGCUCCAGGCUAACCAAAAGUCUGUUCUGGUGUCGGUGUCAGAGGUCAAAGCAGUGGCUGAAAUGCAGUUUGGGGAACUCCUUGCUGCUGUGAGGAAGGCCCAGGCCAAUGUGAUGCUCUUCUUAGAGGAGAAGGAGCAAGCUGCGCUGAGCCAGGCCAACGGUAUCAAGGCCCACCUGGAGUACAGGAGUGCCGAGAUGGAGAAGAGUAAGCAGGAGCUGGAGACGAUGGCGGCCAUCAGCAACACUGUCCAGUUCUUGGAGGAGUACUGCAAGUUUAAGAACACUGAAGACAUCACCUUCCCUAGUGUUUACAUAGGGCUGAAGGAUAAACUCUCGGGCAUCCGCAAAGUUAUCACGGAAUCCACUGUACACUUAAUCCAGUUGCUGGAGAACUAUAAGAAAAAGCUCCAGGAGUUUUCCAAGGAAGAGGAGUAUGACAUCAGAACUCAAGUGUCUGCCAUUGUUCAGCGCAAAUAUUGGACUUCCAAACCUGAGCCCAGCACCAGGGAACAGUUCCUCCAAUAUGUGCAUGACAUCACGUUCGACCCGGACACAGCACACAAGUAUCUCCGGCUGCAGGAGGAGAACCGCAAGGUCACCAACACCACGCCCUGGGAGCAUCCCUACCCGGACCUCCCCAGCAGGUUCCUGCACUGGCGGCAGGUGCUGUCCCAGCAGAGUCUGUACCUGCACAGGUACUAUUUUGAGGUGGAGAUCUUCGGGGCAGGCACCUAUGUUGGCCUGACCUGCAAAGGCAUCGACCAGAAAGGGGAGGAGCGCAGCAGUUGCAUUUCCGGAAACAACUUCUCCUGGAGCCUCCAAUGGAACGGGAAGGAGUUCACGGCCUGGUACAGUGACAUGGAGACCCCACUCAAAGCUGGCCCUUUCUGGAGGCUCGGGGUCUAUAUUGACUUCCCAGGAGGGAUCCUUUCCUUCUAUGGCGUAGAGUAUGAUUCCAUGACUCUGGUUCACAAGUUUGCCUGCAAGUUUUCAGAACCAGUCUAUGCUGCCUUCUGGCUUUCCAAGAAGGAAAACGCCAUCCGGAUUGUAGAUCUGGGAGAGGAACCCGAGAAGCCAGCACCGUCCUUGGUGGGGACUGCUCCCUAGACUCCAGGAGCCAUAUCCCAGACCUUUGCCAGCUACAGUGAUGGGAUUUGCAUUUUAGGGUGAUUUGGGGGCAAAAAUAACUGCUGAUGGUAGCUGGCUUUUGAAAUCCUAUGGGGUCUCUGAAUGAAAACAUUCUCCAGCUGCUCUCUUUUGCUCCAUAUGGUGCUGUUCUCUAUGUGUUUGCAGUAAUUCUUUUUUUUUUUUUUUUUGAGACGGAGUCUCGCACUGUUGCCCAGGCUGGAGUGCAGUGGCGUGAUCUUGGCUCACUGCAAGCUCCGCCUCCCGAGUUCAAGCAAUUCUCCUGCCUCAGCCUCCCGAGUAGCUGGGAUUACAGGUGCCUGCCACCACACCCAGCUAACGUUUUGUAUUUUUAGUAGAGAUGGGGUUUCACCAUGUUGGCCAGGCAGAUCUCAAACUUCUGACCUCGUGAUGCACUCACCUCGGCCUCCCAAAGUGCUGGGAUUACAGGCGUGAGCCACUGCGCCCUGCCUGUUUGUAGUAAUUUUUAGGCACCAAAUCUCCCUCAUCUUCUAGUGCCAUUCUCCUCUCUGUUCAGGUAAAUGUCACACUGUGCCCAGAAUGGAUGACCAGGAACCUUCAAGAGUGGCUGAAAAGAUUGCAGAGUUAUCAUAAUAAAUUGCUAACUUGCGUAUUUCCU
RNAcentral lists this long non-coding RNA (3189 nucleotides) under Homo sapiens (human). The record is from RNAcentral. Lineage: Eukaryota; Metazoa; Chordata; Mammalia; Primates; Hominidae.